Molecule: ribosomal RNA, 490 nt
Filed under: uncultured bacterium
Lineage: Bacteria
Description: partial 16S ribosomal RNA
Rfam family: Bacterial small subunit ribosomal RNA
Source: RNAcentral
GAUGAACGCUAGCGAUAGGCUUAACACAUGCAAGUCGAGGGGCAGCAUGGUCUUAGCUUGCUAAGACUGAUGGCGACCGGCGCACGGGUGCGUAACGCGUAUGCAACUUGCCUCACAGAGGGGGAUAACCCGUCGAAAGACGGACUAAUACCGCGUACACUCGGGAUAGGGCAUCCUGACCCAAGGAAAUGAAAUUCGCUGUGAGAUAGGCAUGCGUCCCAUUAGCUAGUUGGUGAGGUAACGGCUCACCAAGGCGACGAUGGGUAGGGGAACUGAGAGGUUGAACCCCCACACUGGUACUGAGACACGGACCAGACUCCUACGGGAGGCAGCAGUGAGGAAUAUUGAUCAAUGGGCGAGAGCCUGAACCAGCCAAGUCGCGUGAAGGAUGACUGUCUUAUGGAUUGUAAACUUCUUUUAUACGGGAAUAACAAGAGCCACGUGUGGCUCCCUGCAUGUACCGUAUGAAUAAGCAUCGGCUAACUCCGUG